RNAcentral lists this non-coding RNA (23 nucleotides) under Arabidopsis thaliana (thale cress). Lineage: Eukaryota; Viridiplantae; Streptophyta; Magnoliopsida; Brassicales; Brassicaceae. The record is from RNAcentral.
UUAGAUCGUCUACUUGUCACAUA